Molecule: long non-coding RNA, 373 nt
Organism: Vespula pensylvanica (western yellowjacket)
Lineage: Eukaryota; Metazoa; Arthropoda; Insecta; Hymenoptera; Vespidae
Exons: 3
Source: RefSeq, a predicted model, not a curated record
ACAAUGGUUACUAUAAAAAUAUUCGAAAAAAUUUAAGUAACAUUGGAUUAUGGCCUUACGAUAAUCGCAAAUAUCGUUUAUUUCUUCAGUGUUUCUUUAUCUUCGUUUUAUCAACGAGUAUAUUUCUACAGGUAUCGGGUUUUUUACUCUUACCCUAUAACACGAAAUUGUUAUUAAAAUUUAUCAUUCGCAUUUCACCGACUAUUUAUAGCACUGCAGGUUACACAAUGUUUUUGAUUAAAAGGAAAAAAAUCAAAGAAUUAUUCGAUCAGAUUCAUAGUGAUUGCGAGCUUCGUUUGUUGAGAGAUCAAGAGUCCGAGAGAAUAUUGAAAAUGUAUGCCGACAACAUUAAACAAUUUAUCUUACCUUUAUA